GCAAUUUUGGCUCAGUCAGUAGAGCAUGAGACUCAAUCUCAGGGUCGUGGGUUCGAGCCCCACAUUGGGCG
This is a transfer RNA of 71 nucleotides. It matches the Rfam family "tRNA". Rfam says of the family: Transfer RNA (tRNA) molecules are approximately 80 nucleotides in length. Their secondary structure includes four short double-helical elements and three loops (D, anti-codon, and T loops). Further hydrogen bonds mediate the characteristic L-shaped molecular structure. tRNAs have two regions of fundamental functional importance: the anti-codon, which is responsible for specific mRNA codon recognition, and the 3' end, to which the tRNAs corresponding amino acid is attached (by aminoacyl-tRNA synthetases). tRNAs cope with the degeneracy of the genetic code in two manners: having more than one tRNA (with a specific anti-codon) for a particular amino acid; and 'wobble' base-pairing, i.e. permitting non-standard base-pairing at the 3rd anti-codon position.